RNAcentral lists this non-coding RNA (76 nucleotides) under marine eukaryotic metagenome. RNAcentral describes it as "Glycine riboswitch". It matches the Rfam family "Glycine riboswitch aptamer", at positions 10 to 90 of the family's 94-position model. From Rfam's summary of the family: This family represents the bacterial glycine riboswitch. Glycine riboswitches usually consist of two metabolite-binding aptamers domains with similar structures in tandem. The record is from RNAcentral.
GUGGAAGAGAUCACUAAAGUGUGACGCCGAAGGAGCAACCGCCCCGGAAACUCUCAGGCAAAAGGACCGCAGGGUG